UAUGGUAAUUUAUGUUUUUUUGGCACCUCUCAAUUAUUGUGGUGUUUUUGGAUAUGUCGAUCGAUCCAUUAGGAAUGACUUUUCAUAUAGAUACAAGUUUGAAAGUUCUUGGGAUGCUUCCUCGUCUGCACACGCAUAUAUACACACAUUUGUAUACAUGGCCGCUUGUGAUAUCUUCCAAACAACAAUGAUAGGCGUGUUCCUUUCAUUGUUGUUGCCUAGUUGGUGUAAAACAA
Arabidopsis thaliana (thale cress) is the source of this 236-nucleotide long non-coding RNA. RefSeq annotates it as other RNA. The transcript has a single exon. NCBI's taxonomy places the organism in Eukaryota, Viridiplantae, Streptophyta, Magnoliopsida, Brassicales, Brassicaceae. The record is from RefSeq.